UUUAAUAGUUAGCUUUAUGGUGACUUUGAGAAAAGUUGAAAAGGGAAGUUGGUUAAAAUCCAACGCGGUCCCGCCACUGUGUGGAGAAGAAUCCAUUUUAAACCACUGUUUCAGAAAGAAAUGGGAAGGAAAAUGGAUUUGAUGACUCCAAGCCAGGAGACCUGCCAUAAAGAAGUACAUUUU
RNAcentral lists this non-coding RNA (183 nucleotides) under Virgibacillus necropolis. The record is from RNAcentral. Lineage: Bacteria; Bacillati; Bacillota; Bacilli; Caryophanales; Bacillaceae.